AACUGCAGUCCAGCUAUAUGCAAGGUCAGCCCACAUGGUCUUUGUAUCGUUUCACAACUGCACAAGUAUUAAUCGCUACUGACAAUAUACACGUUUGGCUUUAAUAGUUUUUGUCUGCAUUUGGGGCUUAUAUUUGUUGUAGCAACAUUUUUAU
This 154-nucleotide small nucleolar RNA is filed under the name Bombyx mori (domestic silkworm). Its description in RNAcentral is "Bm_110". The record is from RNAcentral. Lineage: Eukaryota; Metazoa; Arthropoda; Insecta; Lepidoptera; Bombycidae.